AGAGCGGCAGGGCCUUGUAGACAAGCUUGCAGGGCAGCUUGGUGGGGCCUACACAACCUCUUCCAAACAGGCUUCACUCAGCCCAAGCUGGGUUUCUGAAAACUCUCCCAUGUGAAUGGGACUGUCUCGCCUAGAGCAGGAAAAGAAGCACUGGAAUGGAAAUGAGCAGUGGAACAAAGAGGCUUUCAACUCUAAUUUAUCACCCUGGACAGAAGGUGGCUCAGCUAAACUGAAAGUCUUCAGUGCACAGAAGAGUCAUUUAUUUCACCGGAUGUGAAUAAACAACAAAUUGCAGUUGCUCUGUUGGCUGAACCACCAGGUUCCAGAUGCUACCAUGAUGCCAACCGGACUUCCCUGGGCAGACGACCCCACUAUGUAUCUUGGAGCCCACCUCCCCAGAUCCCUGACCCACUAGGGAAAACGGGGGGGGGGGGGGCUGGGAGUAUGGAUCAACCUGCCAGCGCCCACGUUCAGCAGGGAAGCAAUUACAGAAGCCAGACCGUCCACCUUUUGCACCCCACAAUGUGAUUGGUUUGAAGUUUUCCAACAAAGUAAAAGAGUGUGUGUGUGUGGGGGGGUUCAGGCCCAUCUUAAGGGCUGGUGGUGGGGACACAGACCAUUGGUGGUGGGAGCAGAGUAUAACUAACUCCUAAAUCACUAUUAAGUCAAUUAUGUCAGGGGAAAAUAGAAUAUUUCAAGUUCUUUAAAUGCUAAGAUUAUACUUCUGAGUAUAUAUUUUCACUUAAUGUCUCAAACUUGUAAACUAACUGAGUUCUGACACUGGACUUAAAUCAUUAAAGCAUUUCUAAAAUUAACUUUGUUAAACAUUCAAGUUACCUACAACUUUAAACCCAAAAGAUCAGAAUCAUUUGUUCCUGUCAUUAGCUAAGACACUAUUAUUAGUUGACAUCAUUAAAUGGCAUAAAACAUGGUAAGGAUAAAUAUAGUAGAGUAAAUCCUAACCAAGGGAUUUUCAAAGAAAAACAAGUUCCCAACUAACUUGGUUAUAAUAAUAGUUAUCUAGUAACUUUUUUUCCUUUUUUUUUAUUAUUGGGGAAUUAAUGUUUUACAUUCAACAGUAAAUACAAUAGUU
This is a long non-coding RNA of Erinaceus europaeus (western European hedgehog), 1093 nucleotides long. RefSeq lists it as uncharacterized. Lineage: Eukaryota; Metazoa; Chordata; Mammalia; Eulipotyphla; Erinaceidae. The transcript is spliced from 3 exons. The record is from RefSeq and is a predicted model, not a curated record.